UGGGUAUCAGCCUUGCAGCUCGGGACAAAUUAAAAUGCACACUUAAGUCUGUUACUAAAGACUCAACUAUACCUUACUCUAACAGUUCACAGAGUUCACCUGACUGCAUAACUAAAAAGCCUGAUGCAUGUCUUCAGGCAAUAACCUUGAUUUAAACACUAGAACAGUCUUCCUUUCUCAGCAGUGAUCAUGGGCUAUAAUUGAACUAAGGGGCGUGCAUCACCAAUAUUGUCUGUUAAAAACACUCAGUAGCACAUUUAAGUUAAAUGCCCACAGAUGGUACAGACCCUUUCAACAUGAGGAGGUUUGAUUACGUUAGAGGAUCCUGAAAAAGCUUUAGGAUAUAGCUCAAACAUGUUGUUUUUCACACCUGGAUAAUUACUCUUGUGACCAGCCAGACCUGUCUAUAGCUGUGCCUUCUCCCCAGAGCGUCAAAGUUGUGUCAUUCUCUUGGUUAUGGCUUGCCUUUAUCUUUAUGUAAUGACUGACAUGUUAUAAGCUAAAGAAAUUAUGUUCAUUAGUGCUUAAAAAGCUGGACUCUUUAGUGUUACACAAAGCACUUACACAAAAAUUGUAUAAGUAAAAAAAAACAUGCAACGACAUGUGAAGUAAACUGGAAGAAAAUGCCCCUCCCUCCUCCUAAUACUAUACCUAUAUAUUCACUCCUCCAGUGAGACUGCCAUUAAGACUGUCACUAUCUCCUUUCACACUUUCAGUUGUUACUUUUAAGAAUGGGAAAGGUUCAUGUUAGAGACAACGCUGCAAAAGAAAAGAAAACCGAGUUUAGGUUAGUACGAGUCAAAGACACCUGGAAGCGGAAGCUGGGGAAGAAGGUCAAUAAAAACAAAGUGGACUGUGUCUCUGCUGCAAAAAUCUUUGAAACUUCCACCGUGAAGGACACCACGUGGACAGUGAUCAGCCCCAUUACCUUCACUUACAAGGUAACUGAGACUCGAGGCUUGCUGGACCCGAACAGCGACACCCUGCUGCUGGGGCACAUCACCGACCCACAGCAUCUGGAGGAAAUCAAAGCGUUGAACAAGCCACUCAAGCGCUUCGUGGUCGUUGACCAAGAAGUCUACAAAAUCUAUGGGGCCAAGAUAACAGAGUACCUAGAGUUCCACAAUGUCCUGUACAAGAUCCUGGCUCUGCCCACGACUGAGGAGAACAAGUCGAUGGAAGUGGCCUUGACUAUCCUUGAAGAAGUGAACAACUUCUGCCUCGACCGCCGCACGGAGCCCAUCAUUGCCAUUGGUGGAGGGGUCUGUCUGGACAUCGUGGGCCUGGCUGCCUCUCUCUACAGGAGACGCACCCCUUACAUCAGAGUCCCCACAACGCUGUUGUCCUACAUCGACGCGAGCGUGGGCGCAAAGACGGGGGUCAACUUUGCAAACUGCAAGAAUAAGCUGGGCACCUACAUUCCACCCACCGCUGCUUUCCUCGACCUGUCCUUCAUACAAACUCUUCCCCGACGCCACAUCUGCAAUGGUGUGGCUGAGAUGCUGAAGAUGGCCUUGAUGAAACACAGAGGCCUCUUUGAGCUCCUUGACAAACAUGGCAGAAUGCUCUUGGAAACUAAAUUCCAGGAUGCUGGAAGUAUUUAUGGGCAAAGCAGUUUCCAGGCUGCGUCACGAGCAACUCGCAUAGCCAUCACAACCAUGCUGGAGGAGCUUGCCCCUAACCUCUGGGAAGACGACCUAAACAGGCUUGUGGACUUCGGCCACCUUAUUAGUCCAGCGUUAGAGAUGAAAGUCCUGCCAUCACUGCUGCACGGUGAGGCAGUGAACAUCGACAUGUCGUACAUGGUUUAUGUAGCUCAGGAGUGCGGCCUGUUGUCAGAAGAUGAGAAACAAAGGAUCAUCCGCUGCAUGGUCGGCCUGGAGCUGCCCGUGUGGCAUGAGGAGGUCACCAUGGAGCUCAUACAGAAGUCCCUGCAAGACAGGCUGAAGCACUCUGGGGGCCUGGUUCGAAUGCCGCUGCCUGUGGGUCUUGGUCAAGCAGAAAUCUUUAAUACCACAUCUUACGAGAUCCUGCACAGAGCUCAUGAGAAGUGGUGUGGGGAGCUGAGCAUGUCUUCUCACAGCAGCUGUGACCCUUAACUGUAUCAGUUGAACUUUAGAGAAUAUUUUUCAUUUUGAAGGGAAUUGUGUGUUGUAUAUUUUAGUUGUUUAUAAUGUUGGGAAGAAUAGUACUGACUUAUAUUACUGUGUAUUAUGGCAACAAAAUCUAAAUGAUUUGUCUAAAAAUUUCAAUAGGUUGGAAAUUUUUUCAUAUCACAAACAUAUUUACAUACAUUUUUGUUAACAGUUCAAAACAAGUGGUUUUAUAAUUGUCACCAAAUGAUUCAUCAGCUUUCUAACUGUUUGCUACUUGACUGUGAACAUACAGUAUAAGCUUCAAUAAAUGUUUUUGUGUUUAUGAAAGAGUGUGCA
Molecule: long non-coding RNA, 2432 nt
Filed under: Betta splendens (Siamese fighting fish)
Lineage: Eukaryota; Metazoa; Chordata; Actinopteri; Anabantiformes; Osphronemidae
Description: lncRNA (ENSBSLG00000020736.1)
Source: RNAcentral